CUUAAAACAGUUUUGUAUCCAAAUAAUCCAGUUUUACCUUCAUAAUGUAAAAUAUUGUAUAUUUAACAAAGAGACAACUCUCCAUCAAAGACCAAAUGAUGUAGAUAUAAAUGAUAAGCAACUGUAUGUCACCUUACUGCUUUCUAUAAUGAGCAUAACCCAUAUUUCACAGCAAGCUAUAAAAGGCUCUAAAAUGACAUGUGAUGCAUUUCAAACAAGAACACUAAUGGCCUGAUUUGUGUACAAGACAAUAAGCG
Molecule: long non-coding RNA, 257 nt
Filed under: Mytilus galloprovincialis (Mediterranean mussel)
Lineage: Eukaryota; Metazoa; Mollusca; Bivalvia; Mytilida; Mytilidae
Source: RNAcentral